CCAGCAGCCGCGGUAAUACGGAGGAUGCAAGCGUUAUCCGGAAUGAUUGGGGGUAAAGCGUCCGCAGGUGGCAAUGUAAGUCUGCUGUCAAAGCGUCUGGCUCAACCAGAUAAAGGCAGUGGAAACUACAUAGCUAGAGUAAGGUAGGGGUAGAGGGAAUUCCUGGUGUAGCGGUGAAAUGCGUAGAGAUCAGGAAGAACACCGGUGGCGAAAGCGCUCUGCUGGACCUUAACUGACACUGAGGGACGAAAGCUAGGGGAGCGAAUGGGAUUAGAUACCCCAGUAGUC
This 288-nucleotide ribosomal RNA is filed under the name uncultured cyanobacterium. RNAcentral's name for it is "partial 16S ribosomal RNA". It matches the Rfam family "Bacterial small subunit ribosomal RNA", at positions 508 to 795 of the family's 1533-position model. The record is from RNAcentral. Lineage: Bacteria; Bacillati; Cyanobacteriota.